RNAcentral lists this long non-coding RNA (1271 nucleotides) under Homo sapiens (human). Its description in RNAcentral is "non-protein coding lnc-TMEM132C-6:7". The record is from RNAcentral. Lineage: Eukaryota; Metazoa; Chordata; Mammalia; Primates; Hominidae.
CCGAUCUCCGCACAGUUUUCCUAAGUGCUCUCGCCUACUUUUUUGACUGUGAUAAUUACCACUACCCUAGAAAACACCUUCCUCUAUUUCAGGGACAACUUGAGUCCUAAAGCCAAUAUACAGUAGAGGGGACUGAAGUCCUCCGCACUUGUCCUGCAGACUGUGCUCAUUCCGCUGAGCCCCGAGCUGUCUGAGGGAGAGGAGCUGCAUGCGGCCAUUUCCAUUCUCUCCCUUCCGCUUCUCUAGUGGAUAAUUCCUGCUGGCCAUUUAACACUCAAGCCGGAGUGCUGGGAAAGGAAGAGCACGGUCCCUUUAAAUGAUACGGAAGCCGGGAAGGAAAGCGCGGGGUAGAAAGGGCAGAGUCCGUGACUAGGCCUCUAGCCCCAGGGACCUAGGCGAGGACAGGCACUCCUGCUUUUCCAAGAGCACCCUGGCCCGCCACGCCCCCAGCCUGGGCCUAUAAACACCCACGACCCUAGCAAGGCAGAGACAGAAGCUGCUGGAGGGCGAGAGGAACGCAUCAGUGGAAGAAGACAGAAGCGGCUGGUCACGGAGAGCAUGUCAGCAGAAGAACACACCUACAGACGCCGGCUCGCCCGCGGGCUCCCCGGCAGGCCAUCGACCGGUGGGACGAGGUGGAGUUUGUCCUGGGCAGUAGGAGGACAGCCCGGGCACCCAGCGGCCCAACUCCAGGGGAAAGCCAUCUCCCUUCUGGAGCUGCCCAACUCCGGGGGAAAACCAUCUCCUUUCUGACUCUCCUGUCGGUGGAGAGUUACUUCCACUCAAUACGAUUUUGCAGUCAUUCUCCAAGCCCACGUGUGAUCCGAUUCUUCCGGUACACCAAGGCAAGAACCCGGGAUACAGAAAGCCCUCUGGCCUUAUGACAAGGUAGAGGGUCUAACUGAGCUAUAGACCGUGAACUAAGAGCGCACCCUGGAACACACGCCCUCUGGGGCUUCAGCUGUAAACAUCCACCCUUAGACACUGCCAUGGGGUUGGAGCCCCACAACCUGCCCAUCUCUAUGCCCCACUAGAGGUAUGACCAACGGGGCACUGAAGAGGCGAGCACACCCCAUCGCACGCCCUGCAAGGGGGACGGGGGAACCUUUCCCAUUUCAACACCACCGCUGUGGCUGCAUGUGGCUGCCAUAAGAAAAAGAACCCAUUCUUUGGCACAGCUGAAGCAGGACUCUUCUCGUUGUUCUCCAGGCUAAAGUGCAAUGGCGCAAUCUCAGUUUACUGUGACCUCCCUCUCCCAGGCUCAAGCGGUU